Molecule: ribosomal RNA, 494 nt
Filed under: uncultured bacterium
Lineage: Bacteria
Description: partial 16S ribosomal RNA
Rfam family: Bacterial small subunit ribosomal RNA
Source: RNAcentral
GACGAACGCUGGCGGCGUGCUUAACACAUGCCAGUCGAACGGUGAAGCGCCUUCCUUUUUGGUGGGUGUGGAUGAGUGGCGCACGGGUGAGUAACACGUGAGUAACCUGCCCCCUUCUUCUGGAUAACCGCAUGAAAGUGUGGCUAAUACGGGAUAUUCUGGGUCUGUCGCAUGAUGGGUCUGGGAAAGAUAUUGUUUCGGUGGGGGAUGGGCUCGCGGCCUAUCAGCUUGUUGGUGGGGUGAUGGCCUACCAAGGCGGUGACGGGUAGCCGGCCUGAGAGGGUGGACGGUCACACUGGGACUGAGACACGGCCCAGACUCCUACGGGAGGCAGCAGUGGGGAAUAUUGCACAAUGGGCGCAAGCCUGAUGCAGCGACGCCGCGUGAGGGAUGGAGGCCUGCGGGUUGUGAACCUCUUUCGCCAGUGAAGCAGGCCUGCCUCGUUUGUGGGUGGGUUGACGGUAGCUGGAUAAGAAGCGCCGGCUAACUACGUG